UCUUGUUUUUCUUGGAAUGCUGCCAAUUAACCCUACUUCCAUUGUCACCCUUCCCAAGUUCUCCAUUGUUACAUUCUCAUUUUCUCAUUCUAACUCCAUCUCUAUUUCGUUGCAACGCUGCCUCUGACCCAUCCUCUUCCUAUUUCAACUUCGUUAGUGAUGCUGAUGCCACUUCUGCAGGCACCGACAGAAUUUUCGGGAAUUCUCUGGCGAAGAAGCGAACGGAGGAUAACACCAAAAUUAGGAAAAUUAAUGCCUGGGAAAAGCCUUGGUCGCGCAACCAAGAGAGCUACUUGGCUGAUGAUAGUGAACCUCUUCCUCUUCCCAUGACUUAUCAUGACACUUCCCCUGUUCCGCCCGACGAAAUUGAUCUUCGAUUUCGCUGUGAUCCCCUAAUACAGGAUUUCAAGGAAGUUGUCUAUGAGUGGACUGGGAAAUGUCGGAGUUGUCACUGAACGUGAUUUGUAAGUUACUACAACAAAGGAGGGAAGGAGACCAUCUGUAAAUGCAUACCUUUGCCUUGGAAUCGACACAAGUAUUUCGGUUCAUCAACAGGAGCUUCUUUGAUACAUCCCAGAGUUAAAGUUAGCUAAGGUGCAUGUCAGAGGAAAGGUUGACGACACUUGCAGCGGUAUGGACUUCAGCGUUUCGCCAAACCAUUUGGGUCCGGCUAUUAAAGAUUAAGAUGGUCGAUUGAAGAAGCUUGGAACUUUCUCCAAGUGUUGGUAUGUCCUCAUGUUCGGUGAUGCUAUCUUUUCAUAUUAUAGCUUACGAAGACUUCAUUAGAAUUUAAGAGUACUCGCAUUUCCAUUAUGAUCUUUGGAUUCUUUUGUAUUAAGGCCUAUAUGGCAUAUUGACUUUUAUUGUCUAAGUCCAGAUUGGUACUCUUUAGAUGGUUUUUAAUAUGAGAAAUUUUUAGAAGAUCGUACGUAUGCUUUCAUGAUUGAUAUGUAUUAAGUCUAAGUAUACUUAACACAGUAUUAAA
Molecule: long non-coding RNA, 985 nt
Organism: Solanum pennellii
Lineage: Eukaryota; Viridiplantae; Streptophyta; Magnoliopsida; Solanales; Solanaceae
Exons: 5
Source: RefSeq, a predicted model, not a curated record